CGUCGUGAAGAGGGAAACAACCCAGACCGCCAGCUAAGGUCCCAAAGUCAUGGUUAAGUGGGAAACGAUGUGGGAAGGCCCAGACAGCCAGGAUGUUGGCUUAGAAGCAGCCAUCAUUUAAAGAAAGCGUAAUAGCUCACUGGUCGAGUCGGCCUGCGCGGAAGAUGUAACGGGGCUAAACCAUGCACCGAAGCUGCGGCAGCGACGCUUAUGCGUUGUUGGGUAGGGGAGCGUUCUGUAAGCCUGUGAAGGUGUACUGUGAGGUAUGCUGGAGGUAUCAGAAGUGCGAAUGCUGACAUAAGUAACGAUAAAGCGGGUGAAAAGCCCGCUCGCCGGAAGACCAAGGGUUCCUGUCCAACGUUAAUCGGGGCAGGGUGAGUCGACCCCUAAGGCGAGGCCGAAAGGCGUAGUCGAUGGGAAACAGGUUAAUAUUCCUGUACUUGGUGUUACUGCGAAGGGGGGACGGAGAAGGCUAUGUUGGCCGGGCGACGGUUGUCCCGGUUUAAGCGUGUAGGCUGGUUUUCCAGGCAAAUCCGGAAAAUCAAGGCCGAGGCGUGAUGACGAGGCACUACGGUGCUGAAGCAACAAAUGCCCUGCUUCCAGGAAAAGCCUCUAAGCAUCAGGUAACAUCAAAUCGUACCCCAAACCGACACAGGUGGUCAGGUAGAGAAUACCAAGGCGCUUGAGAGAACUCGGGUGAAGGAACUAGGCAAAAUGGUGCCGUAACUUCGGGAGAAGGCACGCUGAUACGUAGGUGAAGCGACUUGCUCGUGGAGCUGAAAUCAGUCGAAGAUACCAGCUGGCUGCAACUGUUUAUUAAAAACACAGCACUGUGCAAACACGAAAGUGGACGUAUACGGUGUGACGCCUGCCCGGUGCCGGAAGGUUAAUUGAUGGGGUUAGCGCAAGCGAAGCUCUUGAUCGAAGCCCCGGUAAACGGCGGCCGUAACUAUAACGGUCCUAAGGUAGCGAAAUUCCUUGUCGGGUAAGUUCCGACCUGCACGAAUGGCGUAAUGAUGGCCAGGCUGUCUCCACCCGAGACUCAGUGAAAUUGAACUCGCUGUGAAGAUGCAGUGUACCCGCGGCAAGACGGAAAGACCCCGUGAACCUUUACUAUAGCUUGACACUGAACAUUGAGCCUUGAUGUGUAGGAUAGGUGGGAGGCUUUGAAGUGUGGACGCCAGUCUGCAUGGAGCCGACCUUGAAAUACCACCCUUUAAUGUUUGAUGUUCUAACGUGGACCCGUGAUCCGGGUUGCGGACAGUGUCUGGUGGGUAGUUUGACUGGGGCGGUCUCCUCCUAAAGAGUAACGGAGGAGCACGAAGGUUGGCUAAUCCUGGUCGGACAUCAGGAGGUUAGUGCAAUGGCAUAAGCCAGCUUGACUGCGAGCGUGACGGCGCGAGCAGGUGCGAAAGCAGGUCAUAGUGAUCCGGUGGUUCUGAAUGGAAGGGCCAUCGCUCAACGGAUAAAAGGUACUCCGGGGAUAACAGGCUGAUACCGCCCAAGAGUUCAUAUCGACGGCGGUGUUUGGCACCUCGAUGUCGGCUCAUCACAUCCUGGGGCUGAAGUAGGUCCCAAGGGUAUGGCUGUUCGCCAUUUAAAGUGGUACGCGAGCUGGGUUUAGAACGUCGUGAGACAGUUCGGUCCCUAUCUGCCGUGGGCGCUGGAGAACUGAGGGGGGCUGCUCCUAGUACGAGAGGACCGGAGUGGACGCAUCACUGGUGUUCGGGUUGUCAUGCCAAUGGCACUGCCCGGUAGCUAAAUGCGGAAGAGAUAAGUGCUGAAAGCAUCUAAGCACGAAACUUGCCCCGAGAUGAGUUCUCCCUGACCCUUUAAGGGUCCUGAAGGAACGUUGAAGACGACGACGUUGAUAGGCCGGGUGUGUAAGCGCAGCGAUGCGUUGAGCUAACCGGUACUAAUGAACCGUGAGGCUUAACCUU
This 1940-nucleotide ribosomal RNA is filed under the name Shigella flexneri. RNAcentral describes it as "partial 23S ribosomal RNA". It matches the Rfam family "Bacterial large subunit ribosomal RNA", at positions 1006 to 2925 of the family's 2925-position model. The record is from RNAcentral. Lineage: Bacteria; Pseudomonadati; Pseudomonadota; Gammaproteobacteria; Enterobacterales; Enterobacteriaceae.